RNAcentral lists this ribosomal RNA (501 nucleotides) under uncultured bacterium. RNAcentral describes it as "partial 16S ribosomal RNA". It matches the Rfam family "Bacterial small subunit ribosomal RNA", at positions 355 to 852 of the family's 1533-position model. The record is from RNAcentral.
UGGGGAAUUUUGGACAAUGGGCGAAAGCCUGAUCCAGCAAUGCCGCGUGUGUGAAGAAGGCCUUCGGGUUGUAAAGCACUUUUGUCCGGAAAGAAAUGGCUCUGGUUAAUACCUGGGGUCGAUGACGGUACCGGAAGAAUAAGGACCGGCUAACUACGUGCCAGCAGCCGCGGUAAUACGUAGGGUCCAAGCGUUAAUCGGAAUUACUGGGCGUAAAGCGUGCGCAGGCGGUUGUGCAAGACCGAUGUGAAAUCCCGAGCUUAACUUGGGAAUUGCAUUGGUGACUGCACGGCUAGAGUGUGUCAGAGGGGGGUAGAAUUCCACGUGUAGCAGUGAAAUGCGUAGAGAUGUGGAGGAAUACCGAUGGCGAAGGCAGCCCCUGGGAUAACACUGACGCUCAUGCACGAAAGCGUGGGGAGCAAACAGGAUUAGAUACCCUGGUAGUCCACGCCCUAAACGAUNUCAACUAGUUGUUGGGGAUUCAUUUCCUUAGUACGUAGC